Molecule: unclassified non-coding RNA, 394 nt
Filed under: soil metagenome
Description: partial contains 5.8S ribosomal RNA, internal transcribed spacer 2, and large subunit ribosomal RNA
Rfam family: 5.8S ribosomal RNA (bases 1-120)
Source: RNAcentral
GAUGAAGAACGCAGCGAAAUGCGAUAAGUAAUGUGAAUUGCAGAAUUCAGUGAAUCAUCGAAUCUUUGAACGCACCUUGCGCUCCUUGGUAUUCCGAGGAGCAUGCCUGUUUGAGUGUCAUUAAAUUCUCAACCAUUAUCAACUUUUGCUGAUAAUGGCUUGGAUGUGGGGGUCUAUUUUGCUGGCUUCUCAGAUAGUCAGCUCCCCUUAAAUGCAUUAGCCGGUGCCCCGCGUGGACUGUCUAUUGGUGUGAUAAUUAUCUACGCUAUGGACAUCUGCAAUCAUAUGGGUUUGCGCUGCUUCUAACAGUCUGUUGAUUCAGACAAUACAUGACAAUUUGACCUCAAAUCAGGUAGGACUACCCGCUGAACUUAAGCAUAUCAAAAGCGGAGGA